GUGCCCAGAAAAUACAAUAUUGCUUUUAAAAUGCUUUGCCCCAUUGGUUUUUUUUCUUUCCCCCGUAAGGGUCUUAAAGUUUCCCAAGCUGACCCUGUUAUAUUUAUGACUCCUUCAAAUCUGUUUUCCUUCUUUUGAUGAAUUAGGUCCAGGUUAUGGGAUCAGCCAAUCAAGUCGACUGUCGUCUUCUGUUAGUGCCAUGCGAGUCCUGAACACAGGUUCUGAUGUGGAGGAGGCGGUGGCAGAUGCCUUGAAAAAACCAGCUCGAAGAAGAUAUGAAUCAUAUGGAAUGCAUUCAGAUGAUGAUGCCAACAGCGAUGCAUCUAGUGCUUGUUCGGAACGCUCCUAUAGUUCUCGAAAUGGUAGUAUUCCUACAUAUAUGAGGCAGACGGAAGAUGUGGCAGAAGUCCUCAAUAGGUGUGCUAGUUCCAAUUGGUCAGAAAGGAAGGAAGGCCUCCUAGGUCUGCAGAACUUACUAAAAAAUCAGAGAACACUAAGUCGAGUUGAACUGAAAAGAUUAUGUGAAAUUUUCACAAGAAUGUUUGCUGACCCUCAUGG
RNAcentral lists this small RNA (558 nucleotides) under Pongo abelii (Sumatran orangutan). Its description in RNAcentral is "retained intron". The record is from RNAcentral. Lineage: Eukaryota; Metazoa; Chordata; Mammalia; Primates; Hominidae.